RNAcentral lists this ribosomal RNA (497 nucleotides) under uncultured bacterium. RNAcentral's name for it is "partial 16S ribosomal RNA". It matches the Rfam family "Bacterial small subunit ribosomal RNA", at positions 28 to 507 of the family's 1533-position model. The record is from RNAcentral.
GACGAACGCUGGCGGCGUGCCUAAUACAUGCAAGUUGAGCGCUGAAGGUUGGUACUUGUACCAACUGGAUGAGCAGCGAACGGGUGAGUAACGCGUGGGGAAUCUGCCUUUGAGCGGGGGACAACAUUUGGAAACGAAUGCUAAUACCGCAUAAAAACUUUAAACACAAGUUUUAAGUUUGAAAGAUGCAAUUGCAUCACUCAAAGAUGAUCCCGCGUUGUAUUAGCUAGUUGGUGAGGUAAAGGCUCACCAAGGCGAUGAUACAUAGCCGACCUGAGAGGGUGAGCGGCCACAUUGGGACUGAGAGACGGCCCAAACUCCUACGGGAGGCAGCAGUAGGGAAUCUUCGGCAAUGGACGAAAGUCUGACCGAGCAACGCCGCGUGAGGGAAGAAGGGUUUCGGAUCGUAAAACUCUGUUGGUAGAGAAGAACGUUGGUGAGAGUGGAAAGCUCAUCAAGUGACGGUAACUACCCAGAAAGGGACGGCUAACUACGUG